AGACAUUCAUCAAUGGGUUUGAAUCAGUCAAAUAUGUCUGGAUUGGUCUGACUGAUUCUGUUACUGAGGGGACCUGGAAAUGGGUGGACGGAACCCCACUGACCACCCCAAGGUAAGAGACUACUGCUCUAUAAUAACACUGACCACCCCAAGGUAAGAGACUACUGCUCUAUAAUAACACUGACCACCCCAAGGUAAGAGACUACUGCUCUAUAAUAACACUGACCACCCCAAGGUAAGAGACUACUGAUCUAUAAUAACACUGACCACCCCAAGGUAAGAGACUACUGCUCUAUAAUAACACUGACCACCCCAAGGUAAGAGACUACUGCUGUAUAAUAACACUGACCACCCCAAGGUAAGAGACUACUG
Long non-coding RNA from Oncorhynchus keta (chum salmon), 372 nucleotides. RefSeq lists it as uncharacterized. The record is from RefSeq and is a predicted model, not a curated record. Lineage: Eukaryota; Metazoa; Chordata; Actinopteri; Salmoniformes; Salmonidae. The transcript is spliced from 4 exons.